Molecule: unclassified non-coding RNA, 275 nt
Filed under: Hevea brasiliensis (rubber tree)
Lineage: Eukaryota; Viridiplantae; Streptophyta; Magnoliopsida; Malpighiales; Euphorbiaceae
Source: RNAcentral
GUUAUUUUGAGUCUAGUUUCACCUCUAAUUGGCCUUACACCAAUUGGAGUCACAUUUCAGUUAUAACUCAAACAACACACUGGACUCAUAGGUCCGAAUUUCCUACAUAAGAGAAGCACUCCCAUUAUUCCAUCCUUUUUACUCCCAACUACAAUUUAUCAUUCAUAACACUUCAAAUGAUCAACAAACAGUCUCAACAAGAUCAAUCUCAAGCCAUAACACCAAGGUACCAAAAUUAAUUCAAACCCUAACUCAAAAUUUCUCAAAUAUUCAAA